Molecule: RNA transcript, 3287 nt
Organism: Ananas comosus (pineapple)
Lineage: Eukaryota; Viridiplantae; Streptophyta; Magnoliopsida; Poales; Bromeliaceae
Gene name: phosphomethylpyrimidine synthase, chloroplastic
Exons: 8
Source: RefSeq, a predicted model, not a curated record
CGCACUGCUCUGCGUUAUCUUUUCCCACCGUUCGUUCGCUCUUUAAGCUGUCCCAUUGGGAUAAGAGAGGAGAGUUUGAUAAUUAGUUCAUCAAGAGAUGGCGAGUGUGCAACCUUCAUAUACAUCCAUGCUUGCUAAGACAAGUUGUCGCACUCCCCUUAAGUUGCCCAAAACUUCUUUUUUACCUGGAUUAGAAGCUGUGGCACGUGUUUCAGAUAUCCAGGAUAAGGAGAUAAGCCCUAAAUAUGUUACUUCGACUCCGAAGGCCACUUUAGCUGUUGAGCAUUCGGUUGCGGAGUCACCAAAAUCUAAGCAGAAGAAGCACACCAUCGAUCCUUCUGCUCCUGAUUUUCUCCCGCUCCCUUCAUUUGAAGAAUGCUUCCCGAGGAGUACUAAGGAAUAUAGAGAAAUUAUUCAUGAGGAAUCUGGUCACGUCCUUAAGGUUCCAUUUCGAAGAGUUCACUUGUCUAUAGAAAACAAGUGCUUUGAUACGUAUGAUACCAGUGGGCCGCAAAACAUAAGUCCGACUUUGGGCCUUCCUAAAAUAAGGAAAGAAUGGAUCGAAAGACGAGAGCAGUUAGGCGGCCCAAGAUACACACAAAUGUUCUAUGCAAAAAAAGGAAUCAUAACAGAAGAGAUGUUGUUUUGUGCCGCACGGGAAAAGCUCGACCCUGAAUUCGUGCGCUCAGAAGUUGCGCGUGGGCGUGCUAUCAUCCCUUCCAACAAAAGACACUUGGAGUUGGAACCAAUGAUCGUAGGAAGAAAAUUCUUAGUUAAAGUGAACGCAAAUAUCGGUAAUUCAGCAGUCUUAAGCUCUAUUGAAGACGAGGUACACAAGCUUCAGUGGGCAACAAUGUGGGGUGCCGACACCGUCAUGGACCUCUCCACAGGUCGUCAUAUACAUGAAACUCGAGAAUGGAUCAUUCGCAACUCUUCAGUGCCGAUUGGGACCGUACCUAUAUACCAAGCCCUAGAGAAAGUAAAUGGCAUUGCCGAAAACCUGAGUUGGGAAAUUUUCAGAGAUACUCUAAUAGAACAAGCUGAGCAGGGCGUGGAUUACUUUACCAUCCAUGCUGGUGUGCUACUCAGAUACAUUCCUCUAACUGCCAAAAGAAUGACUGGGAUUGUUUCACGUGGGGGUUCAAUUCAUGCGAAAUGGUGUUUGGCCCACCACAAGGAGAACUUUGCUUAUGAGCAUUGGGAUGAAAUACUUGAUAUAUGCAAUCAAUAUGAUGUGUCGCUAUCGAUCGGCGAUGGGCUGAGGCCCGGUUCGAUUUAUGAUGCCAAUGAUAGUGCUCAGUUUGCAGAGCUUCUUACUCAAGGGGAACUUACACGCCGAGCUUGGGAAAAGGAUGUGCAGGUAAUGAAUGAAGGACCUGGCCACAUUCCAAUGCACAAAAUCCCCGAGAAUAUGGAAAAACAGUUAGAAUGGUGUAAUGAGGCACCAUUUUACACACUUGGUCCACUAACUACCGAUAUUGCUCCUGGCUAUGAUCACAUCACUUCCGCCAUUGGUGCUGCUAACAUUGGAGCUCUUGGAACUGCACUCUUGUGCUAUGUAACACCUAAAGAACAUCUGGGUUUACCUAAUCGUGAUGAUGUAAAGACAGGAGUUAUCUCCUACAAGAUCGCAGCCCAUGCUGCAGACCUCGCAAAAGGCCACCCAUAUGCACAACAAUGGGAUGACGAAUUGAGUAAAGCGAGGUUCGAGUUUAGAUGGAUGGACCAAUUUGCACUUUCUUUGGACCCUAUGACUGCAAUGGCUUUUCAUGAUGAGACUUUGCCCUCUGAGGGGGCCAAGGUCGCGCAUUUCUGCUCGAUGUGCGGGCCCAAGUUUUGUUCGAUGAAGAUAACAGAAGACAUAAGGAAGUACGCUGAGGAGAAUGGGUAUGGAAAUGUGGAAGAAGCUGUGAAGCGUGGGAUGGAUGCAAUGAGUGCAAAGUUUAUGGCUGCUGAGAAAACUGUCAGUGGGGAACAGCAUGGUGAAAUUGGAGGAGAGAUUUAUGUGCCUGAGAGUUACGCAGCUCGUUCAUGAAGGAAUAGCAAUACCACUUAUCCAUGGGAGAAGAAAGGACAGACGUGUUGAGGAUUGCUAGAUAUUGUGAAUAACACUCCCUAGUAAUGGGAGGGAAAGCACCUAACUGAAGAUACUAAACUAGGCCGAUUGCUUGGAUGCACCAGUUGUUGCAGCUGGCUAAAAUCUGUGACUGUCGCUGGGAAGUAACAUUUUGAUUAUUCUCUGCUGAUUAGUGUUUUAUCUGUGGUUAUCAAAGAGGGAGGCUAUUUAGUGUUGUGGUUUCAUCCAAACAAUGGUAGAUAUUCGGGACUGUUUGGCCCAGCUAAAGCUUUUGCAAAGGUGUUCGCUUAAGUUGAGCUGUUCAAAGAAGUUCUAACAGCUUUCUCAUUUAGAGUUUCUUUGUAGCUUCUCGCUGUAUGCUGUAGCAGAAGCAGCAAUAGCUCAACUUGUCUGCUGUUAGGAGCAGAGAAGCUGUCCCGAAACUUGGGUCAAGCAGAUACUCUGUAUGAUUCUUUUGUAAUUUCUUCAAAUGGUUUUUGCUCUUCAUCUACCAUUAUUUGCUUUUAGCUAAAACUUAUCUUGGUUUUUCUUGCGAGAGAGUAUUUUUUUAAUGAACUUUUGGGAGAGAUUAUUAGACUAUAGCGACAAACUUUUGAAAGUUGUUCUUGUUUGGAAACUAAUUUUAGUAAGCACCAGGGGUGCUCCGCCAGUCGAUCCUACAAGUGAUAAAAUGACUGGUGAGGGCUGAGAGAGUCCCUUAGAACCUGACCAGGGUAAUACCUGCGUAGGGAGUGUGCUUUUUUUUCUUUUUGUUGUUGUUCUUGGAAACAGAUGUGUGCUCGGAAUGCAAUCUCGCUCUCUGAUCAAACUGCGACUUUCCUGUGCAUUUGCACUCACUAAGGUUUUGAGGAACUGGAAGAAGAUAUUGAUGUUGAUCAUGCGAAUUAAGUUGUUCUUGGGCUAUAAAGUCGGUAAGAAUGAAGAAUGAUUAACAACUGUGGUGUAAUUCUUAGUCCCAGGUCUUUACUUGUUAGAAACUGGAAGUAAUUAUUAAAUAUGCUUGUUUGUUUUAGGCAAUAGGAUUGAAGGCGAAGUAUUGUUGGUUUGGCCUUAGGCCCUUAGUAAUGAAGCAGUUUUUUUUUUUUUUCUUUUUUGGAAUUUCUUGUGUCUCUCUGAAUUUCAUGUAUUUUGAGUAACUUAUUGCAGGUUUAAGUAUGUGUUUAGGUAUCAAAUAAAAUAUGAUACGGCUUGCAAAGCCCCAUGGAAAUAA